This 442-nucleotide ribosomal RNA is filed under the name uncultured bacterium. RNAcentral describes it as "partial 16S ribosomal RNA". It matches the Rfam family "Bacterial small subunit ribosomal RNA", at positions 338 to 795 of the family's 1533-position model. The record is from RNAcentral.
CCUACGGGAGGCUGCAGUGGGGGAUAUUGGACAAUGGGGGGAACCCUGAUCCAGCGACGCCGCGUGAGUGAAGAAGUAUCUCGGUAUGUAAAGCUCUAUCAGCAGGGAAGAAGAAAUGACGGUACCUGAGUAAGAAGCCCCGGCUAACUACGUGCCAGCAGCCGCGUGAAUACGUAGGGGGCAAGCGUUAUCCGGAUUUACUGGGUGUAAAGGGAGCGUAGACGGCGAUGCAAGUCUGAAGUGAAAGGCGGGGGCCCAACCCCCGGACUGCUUUGGAAACUGUAUGGCUGGAGUGCAGGAGAGGUAAGUGGAAUUCCUAGUGUAGCGGUGAAAUGCGUAGAUAUUAGGAGGAACACCAGUGGCGAAGGCGGCUUACUGGACUGUAACUGACGUUGAGGCUCGAAAGCGUGGGGAGCAAACAGGAUUAGAUACCCGUGUAGUC